UGCCCUUGACUCUGGGAUAACCGCGGGAAACGGCGGCUAAUACCGGAUAUGAGACGUACAGGCAUCUGUUGCGUCUGGAAAGAUUUAUCGGUCAAGGAUGGGCUCGCGGCCUAUCAGCUUGUUGGUGGGGUGAAGGCCUACCAAGGCGACGACGGGUAGCCGGCCUGAGAGGGCGACCGGCCACACUGGGACUGAGACACGGCCCAGACUCCUACGGGAGGCAGCAGUGGGGAAUAUUGCGCAAUGGGCGCAAGCCUGAUGCAGCGACGCCGCGUGAGGGAUGAAGGCCUUCGGGUUGUAAACCUCUUUCAGCAGGGAAGAAGCGAAAGUGACGGUACCUGCAGAAGAAGCGCCGGCUAACUACGUGCCAGCAGCCGCGGUAAUACGUAGGGCGCAAGCGUUGUCCGGAAUUAUUGGGCGUAAAGAGCUCGUAGGCGGUUUGUCGCGUCUGCUGUGAAAACCUGAGGCUCAACCUCGGGCUUGCAGUGGGUACGGGCAGACUAGAGUGCGGUAGGGGUGACUGGAAUUCCUGGUGUAGCGGUGGAAUGCGCAGAUAUCAGGAGGAACACCGAUGGCGAAGGCAGGUCACUGGGCCGCAACUGACGCUGAGGAGCGAAAGCAUGGGGAGCGAACAGGAUUAGAUACCCUGGUAGUCCAUGCCGUAAACGUUGGGCACUAGGUGUGGGGCUCAUUCCACGAGUUCCGUGCCGCAGCAAACGCAUUAAGUGCCCCGCCUGGGGAGUACGGCCG
Molecule: ribosomal RNA, 750 nt
Filed under: Cellulomonas cellasea
Lineage: Bacteria; Bacillati; Actinomycetota; Actinomycetes; Micrococcales; Cellulomonadaceae
Description: bacterial SSU rRNA
Rfam family: Bacterial small subunit ribosomal RNA
Source: RNAcentral